RNAcentral lists this ribosomal RNA (623 nucleotides) under uncultured archaeon. Its description in RNAcentral is "bacterial SSU rRNA". It matches the Rfam family "Archaeal small subunit ribosomal RNA", at positions 122 to 747 of the family's 1478-position model. The record is from RNAcentral.
GGGAAUAACCUCGGGAAACUGAGGAUAAUGCCCGAUAGAGCACCGUGCCUGGAACGGCCGGUGCUCCAAACGAAUGUCGCCGCAGGAUGGGACUGCGUCCUAUCAGUUUGUUGGUGAGGUAAUGGCCCACCAAGACUAUUACAGGUACGGGCUCUGAGAGGAGUAGCCCGGAGAUGGGUACUGAGACACGGACCCAGGCCCUAUGGGGCGCAGCAGGCGAGAAAACUUUGCAAUGUGCGAAAGCACGACAAGGUUAAUCCGAGUGGUUCCUGCUAAAGGAACCUUUUGCCAGUCCUAGAAACACUGGUGAAUAAGGGGUGGGCAAGUUCUGGUGUCAGCCGCCGCGGUAAAACCAGCACCUCAAGUGGUCAGGAUGAUUAUUGGGCCUAAAGCAUCCGUAGCCUGCCCUGUUAGUUUUCGGUUAAAUCUGUGCGCUCAACGUACAGGCUGCCGGGAAUACUGCAGGGCUAGGGAGUGGGAGAGGUAGACGGUACUUGGUAGGAAGGGGUAAAAUCCUUUGAUCUAUUGAUGACCACCUGUGGCGAAGGCGGUCUACCAGAACACGUCCGACGGUGAGGGAUGAAAGCUGGGGGAGCAAACCGGAUUAGAUACCCGGGUAGUCC